Molecule: non-coding RNA, 996 nt
Organism: Osmerus eperlanus (European smelt)
Lineage: Eukaryota; Metazoa; Chordata; Actinopteri; Osmeriformes; Osmeridae
Source: the annotation of a RefSeq genome assembly
CACUGUCCCAGCUGCUCUCUAGCCUGUGGACAAUAUGGAGGAAUACUAACAGAGGAUCUAAGGCUGGAGACUGGCUCUUCUGUUGUCAUGGACUCUGAUGAGGACGACACAUGAGAGGUUCACCAGAGUAGGUCCUGAAACAUGGAAUAGGAAUACAAGAAGGACCCAACUCACAUGAUGUUGCAGACAGAACCUCAGCUGCUGUUGAAGAGAGUGUAGUGCAGGAUUGUGUAGUAUGCUGUACUACAGUGCAGUGUUUUGUGAGUCCAGGUUGUAGCAGACAGCAGCUGUGUGCUCUGGUAGAGCUGCAGCAUCACAACACACAGAGGUUUUUGUACGGCGACUUAACCAGAGUCAAUCACUGUGGUGGACUUUUGGUGGAGGCACCAGACUGGAUGUUGGAAGCAACCGUGCCCCCACCCUGACGGUGCUGCCCCCCUCCAGUGAGGAACUGUCCAGUAAGAGUACGGCCACGCUGAUGUGUCUGGCCAACAAGGGCUUCCCCUCAGACUGGACACUCAGCUGGCAGGUGGACGGGAGCAGCAAGAAGGGCCAGGAGGCCAGCAGGGGGCUCCUGGAGAAGGACGGCCAGUACAGCUGGAGCAGCACCCUGACUCUCACUGCCCAGGAGUGGGCCAAGGUGCUGGAGGUGACCUGUGAGGCCCACCAGAGCUCCCAGCCUACGGUCACUCACACCCUGAAGAGAGAGCAGUGUUCUGAGUAGCCCCAGGCUCACACAGCCCUGUGGAGAGGGGCUGCUUCCUCUGCUGGGACUCUGUUCUGUGCUCAGCCAUUCUCUGUCCUCCUGAUGGCUCACAUGCAGACUAACAGGGAGCUUUGUUAGAGUCCACGUGUCGCUGCUGUUUGUAGACUGAGGUGUUAUCAGUGCUAAAGUUGACGUGUUCUGCUUUUGGUCACUAUUCACUCUGUUAGUUGGCUUUGCUUUGAUGCUGGAAUGUUGUUAUUUUAUUGGACAAUAAAGAUUUCUUGUUGAAC